GUUUUGAGUAAUAACUCACCGGAACAACAUCGUCAGCGUCCUUGACAUGGGAAUCCUCACCACGAUGAUGCUCUGGGUCGUGGAGCCCAUCCCCGAGAGGGAGGGCAUGCCUCCCCUUCCACCUCCGACUGAGGUUGCCUUCCCCGCCGCCAUUUUGGAUUGGCGGCUGAUCGAGUACGUGGGGCCGAACCCGGACGUCGACCGCCGCUCCUUCUGGUUUUUUGGGGAGGUCCGUGUUCCGCCUGAGGAACGAGUUGGCCGGGCGGCUGGCCAUCGACGUCGCCAACUUCAUCAUGUACCUCCGCACAGAAAUUGACUGGGUUACCCCACUCCUCGUCGACCUGCCGAGAAACUAUGAGACCCUCCUCAUCGUCGUCGUCGCCGCGGGGACGCCUGCCCAUGCGGCGCUGCAGUACCCGGAUGUCGAUGCAGAGUAGAGAGGGGAGAUACCCGGUUCGAAAAUUCUGAAACUGUUUGAACAACGGUGCGGUGAUAUUAGUCUGUAAUGCGUUUGACAAUGGCCACUACUUCAACGUUGCCAGCUGCAUUUCUCUUAGGUGUUGUGUUGACACAGAUGUGGUGGUUCUUGCAGUGAGUUGAACACUAGAGUUUUGUUAUUCUGCUGAAAGUUUCAGUCCACCAGCAGAAAAUAAAUUUCUGAUUCGACAACGAUCGAAUUCUGAAUAUGGCGACCCUA
Molecule: long non-coding RNA, 697 nt
Organism: Triticum aestivum (bread wheat)
Lineage: Eukaryota; Viridiplantae; Streptophyta; Magnoliopsida; Poales; Poaceae
Exons: 3
Source: RefSeq, a predicted model, not a curated record